AAUUCUUUCUGGCUAUUUUUGAGAUUUUGGCAUUGCAGCACUCCCGUGCUCUGGCGAUGGCACCGCCACUUGUGGCGGUGGUUUGCCUCAGCCUGGACAUUUUUGACUGAUUUAGGCUGGUUUCAGUCGACUUUACAUGUAUCCCUGCGAAAAGCACAUUAUGGAGUCUCGGUUGGUCCAAAAAAAAUUAAGAAACUGAAAACUACCAGUGGUGGGAUUUUCGGGUGCAGUAGCUCCACCGGCUCUCCUUCGCGGCUGGGAUUCCUCCUUCGAUCAACCUGCAGAAAAUAGAACGGUGAAUAUAACGGUAAAAAAAUUGCAUGAAACGAGAACCGAGAAGGGGCUCAUUGGAGGAGAUUGUGGGUUUUGGGCCGCGACGACUCCACCGGACUUUACUUGCCGUUUUUAGCUCACUCACCGUUAGUUUUACUCCGAUAUGGCCACAUGGGUGUUCGGAAUCGAAUUCUGAAAGG
This 473-nucleotide long non-coding RNA is filed under the name Carica papaya (papaya). RNAcentral describes it as "long non-coding RNA (CPAP_LNC011312)". The record is from RNAcentral. Lineage: Eukaryota; Viridiplantae; Streptophyta; Magnoliopsida; Brassicales; Caricaceae.